Molecule: long non-coding RNA, 1081 nt
Filed under: Vulpes vulpes (red fox)
Lineage: Eukaryota; Metazoa; Chordata; Mammalia; Carnivora; Canidae
Description: lncRNA (ENSVVUG00000030177.1)
Source: RNAcentral
UAUGCUAUUCAAAGGUGUAGGGGUCACCUAGCACCUCCAAUAAUGCUUCUAAUCCUAAUGAGAAUUUAGGGAUGAAAUUAUUCAAUUAAGAAGUGUGUGUGUCUGUGUGUGAGAGAGAGAGAGAGAGAAAGCAAUACUCAGUUUUCCCAAUAAAAAUUUAUUCACUGUUCCUUGGUAGCAAUUUUUACAACUAACAUAAUGAAUCAGAGACUUAAAAUACACCUUCCCUGGCCCUCCACCCUAACAUUCUACAUCAUUUUUUCCUAGGGGAAAGACCUUAAGUAAAAAUGCUAUUAAACUCAUGAAAAAAAAAAUUGGGGUAAAAGUGGCACCUUUUUGUGCACUUAACACAGUUCGUUAUAAGACUAUUCUUUUCUCUAACUACAUACGGCAACUAGGAAAAGGGAUGCUCUGCUUGUCUGCCUCUCAUUUGCUCUCCCUGCUCUUUUUAAAUUUACAUCAUAAUUGUGUAUUAUUUUGACACAUGUUGUCUACCAAAUAGAAGGACAUAUGUACACGAACAGGCUCAAACACAAGGGGAGGGGGCAUUUACUAGAGAGUACAGAGCCACACCCCUCCCAGGUGGGUGCCCUGCAGAAAGGCCUGGUACUGAACACACAGAGAUGUACCCACGGUAGCACUGUUUCUGAGAUAUAGUGGUCGUUCCUUCCCACUGGUGAAAAUAUGUUUAUAAUAUCAAAUGGCAACAGUCAUAAACUACUAUUCCCAAAAGAGGCCAUCAGAACCUGCAUCCUGAUUCUGAAAUUAUCACCAGCGAUCUUGAGGAAAAGUGAUGGGACUGACAUUGGUGAACCGAGCACACAGGGAAGAAAAUCUGUAAUUGAUGGCAACAUGAUCACAUACCAGGAUCCUCAGAUGUCAUGAGUCUAAGUCCCACGCCAAGCAUUUUUGGUGAUUCUAGGCUUAUAUGGCAGAGCUCCUUUGAUAGGUGAGACAUUCUAAAGAUGCAAAACUUAAAAAAGACCAUCAAAGCUGGAACAAUUUGAGCAAAAAAAUAUAUAACAGUAUUUGAGUAUAGCCCAAAGUAUAAAAUAAAUAUAUGAGUCCAUACUCCUAUACA